AUUGGUUUGCCUGAGAGGUUAAGGGGAAGAUUUAAGAUCUUUUGUACAUAAGUGUGCAUGGGUUCAAACCCUAUUGCCAGCA
RNAcentral lists this transfer RNA (82 nucleotides) under Ipomoea nil (Japanese morning glory). It matches the Rfam family "tRNA". Rfam says of the family: Transfer RNA (tRNA) molecules are approximately 80 nucleotides in length. Their secondary structure includes four short double-helical elements and three loops (D, anti-codon, and T loops). Further hydrogen bonds mediate the characteristic L-shaped molecular structure. tRNAs have two regions of fundamental functional importance: the anti-codon, which is responsible for specific mRNA codon recognition, and the 3' end, to which the tRNAs corresponding amino acid is attached (by aminoacyl-tRNA synthetases). tRNAs cope with the degeneracy of the genetic code in two manners: having more than one tRNA (with a specific anti-codon) for a particular amino acid; and 'wobble' base-pairing, i.e. permitting non-standard base-pairing at the 3rd anti-codon position. The record is from Rfam by way of RNAcentral. Lineage: Eukaryota; Viridiplantae; Streptophyta; Magnoliopsida; Solanales; Convolvulaceae.